UUCCUUGUUUUCUGCCGUAAAAUAGUCGACUUCGGCGGCAGCCGAAGUGUGGACUUUUGACCCUCUUAAACAAACAAAUAAUUUUGACGCCAAGAAGAAUCGCGCCGAAGUGUGGACUUUUGGACUCUUGUAAAACAAAGAAUAUGUGACGUCAAGAAGAAUCCCGCCGAAGUCGUCGAAAUUUACGGGAAAGAAAGAUUGAACUCUACCUUGGUAUUGCCUCCCGGUAGCCGGUCGGUUUGAUAGGGUAGGAUUCAACAUGUCUAAAGGAAGAUGCUUUAUCCAAAAUGCGAUUCCGUGGUUUUAAAUUUAAAUUAUUAUUAGAAUUACGUCAUUGACGUAUUGUUGCGUAAUACCGAAAUGCAUUGGGUGCGCAUUUACCAGGAGAGUUCGCGGAAAAAGCCUGGAGGCACAAUAAAAAUCUAGAUGAUUGUAAAGAAAAACAGAAAUAUAUAUUCGAAUCCAUGAAAGAUGUCAAUGUAAAAGUUAGAUAUCUCGAGAUAAAAUCAUUAUCAUUUCCCUGUUUAUCAAAAAGAUAAAUCAUUCGGAGUUGCUGGUGAGUUUUCAGUUAUAAUAAAAAAAAUUGAUCUUUUGACCAAGAAAAACAAAAAGCAGUAGUCUUCUUUAAAAAAGAAAAUCUUUGUGUGUUUUACCAACUUAAUUUUUUAGAUAUUAAUUUAAAAAAUCACAAGAUUCUCUUCGAAUAAAUCAAGAACAAGGAGUCCCCAACAAAUCCUUUGGUCCGGAACUCCUUUUGUGUUUUUUGGAAAAAAAUCUUUUUGGUACGAAGUUUUGUCCCAGCUGAUAACUAAACGGAUUGUUUGGGUGACGAAAACAACUAUCCGUCAUGUACUUGCUUGGAUUGGCGUAAAACCUUGUUGCCAUCCGUUAUUAGUGGCAAUGUCGCAGAUGUAUCCUGGAAAUCUUUAUCGUCGCGAUACACUUUAUCUCCUUUUUUCAUUUUGGAACAUGAAGUUGUUAGCAAGGAGGUUACUUUGGAAGAUAACCAAAUGUAGAACGAUCUUGUGUAGCCCGUAAUAUCCCCCGAGCCCGCGGGCCUUUGCCUCAUUACGGAGUUUCAUACCGCGCAGGUCUGGGCGCUAGCGAAGCGCUUGUAGGGACAAAUUUUUGGCUUGUUUUCAUUUGUCUCGAUAGCCCAAAUAAUUUUCAUGAUCAGUUUUUCACAACUAUUCUGGUUACUGCUGCGAAAAGAGGCAGAAAUGCAAAAUCCUGCCUGAUGUUUCUUCAACUAAUUUUUUACUUUAACUGACGUUUUGCUUUUUAAUAACACGUUUAAAUGGUGUUGCUAACCCUCUUUGUGGUAUAUUGACAUGGGUAAGAUGUUGGAAUAGAAGAAAACUUAAAUUACUGACUCUUAUAGAGAGGCAAGAGAAGACAUAUUGUUGAUGUUGGUUUUAGGGGUUAGCUUCCUGAAGUUUCAAGCUACAUAUACCAUACAUUUUGUGUUGUGAGGAAUAAAGUAAUGGUUAAAAAGAAACACUAUUCUAUCAUUAUCAGCGCACUUUUGUAAGAAGAAAUAAAAAUUACAGCUAGCUAUAAAAAGACUUAAAGGAAGUUUUUUUACAGUAAGCUAUAGCUAGCCUAGCUAUAUAUGGAUCUGCAAGUUUGACAUGGAUUAACGUGGAAGAGCAUUUAAUAAAGGAUUUAUUUGCAAAGUAUAGCUAACUAGUUAUAUAAAAAAGAGCACAGAUGAAAUCGACUGAAAAUAAAAUACACACUUCAAUGAUAUAAUGACUGGCUUUGACUUUUCGUUAAAAGUUAUUAUAUAUAAAUAUUACAUAACUAGCUAGAAAGGGAUAUAUAUAAUAGCAUGUUACACUGUAUUAAUGUGUUCUUAAUUUCGGUAAAAUGCAAGAAUAAAUUUAGGUAAGGUCCACUUUUGCAAUUUUGUGAUAGCUAUAGUAAUUUGGUACAUUGACAUAAGAAAAAUUUGGCACCCGAAAAUAUUUGACGAAAACAGUUAAAGUCACUAAAUUUGUUUAAAAUGUUGUUUUCCAUUAAAUUUGUUUAUUUUAACCACAGUAUGUUAUUUUAUUUUAUAUUUCGCAGCGGUUGAAACUUUGUACUUUACAGAUUAAAAUUAUUCCAAUGCAAAAUUGAGGCGUAGCAAUUUUAAAGGCUAAGUUGGUGUUUGAACUGCACUGUUAAGUUGAGUGAUAUUAGAAAUGAUCCUAUUUUUUAGCAUCUGGGCACUUACCCACCUAUAUAUCUGAUUACUGUAUGAGUAAGGCUACGAUAUAUAUAUGAGUGACCCAGUGUGACCCCUAGCUAACAAAAACUACAACGAGACAGAUACAGCCAGCUUUGUGACAAUUUUUAAUUUGGUUUAUAAAAAAUGUAGGUAGCUCCGCCCUGGUUAGUUAAAUAAAGUUUCUAGCAAACACAAAAUAAGAAAUUUUGGAAUUGUUUUUUAAUAUUAUAGCUAGCUAGGUAUCUUUUUAAUGGGCAUGAAUUAGUUUAGAAAAAAAAACAUUGUUUUCUUUACUUGUGUUUAAUGAGCUAUAUUAUU
This is a long non-coding RNA of Hydractinia symbiolongicarpus, 2530 nucleotides long. RefSeq lists it as uncharacterized. The record is from RefSeq and is a predicted model, not a curated record. NCBI's taxonomy places the organism in Eukaryota, Metazoa, Cnidaria, Hydrozoa, Anthoathecata, Hydractiniidae. The transcript is spliced from 2 exons.